UUUAGGUUUGAUUUUGUUUACUAUAAUAUUUUUUUUAAUCGUUUCGCAGAAUAUGAAAAGUUAAAUAGAACCAACAGUGAGCUUCAUCGUGAGGCGCUAUAGAUUGUGCGAGCCAAUUGCCCAGUCACGCCGAUGCGUCGGCCCUUUGUAAAGCUGAGCCAUUGUUUGCACGGAAGAUACGCGAAUAAAAUCGGAAGGCGAGACACAAGCCGCGUGAUCAUGUUGCGAGAAACGGCUACGUGAAUGAAGCCCCCAUUCAUACGGGUCCGCUCUCCUCAACCUUCUCGCCAUCGUUCACCACAGACGCUUGCACGGAGUACGAACGGAACACGGGCGACAAGAGACUACGCACACGCGUACGAUAUACGCACGUAUACACUUUCAGAAUGUGCACAGCUAACACACACAAAUUCGCGUUGCUGAAAGACGAAGAUUCUAUUUUUUCAUUUUCUGCGAAAAGACGUCAAUACCGUACAUUCAAACUUGCUAGCUAAUCUUGCCAAUGGAAUACGCCAAAUGUAACAAAUAAGACAUUUCUCUCUUUAUUUUCCGAAUACAUGGAAACGGUCAGCCACGAGAGAAAAAAGUCUCAUUCAUCGAAGGAUUUCCGUUGCAGUCUCGUCACGCGCAACAUAGGUCUAGAAUCGCUGGAGAAUUUCAAAUAUAGCAAAAAGCUAGCCGGAAAGCAUCCGAAUGGGCAAUAAGAAGACUCGUUCUUUCACGGGAGGAAUAGCGCCAGCAAAAUGGCAUCGUUUCAAAUUAGGCUGUGUUGCGAUUUGCCAUUUACGGUUUGAAUUUACUACGUAUAUACUCAACUACGUUUCAAUAAAUUUUUAAUCUUCAUCUAUCACGAAAACAUUCAGAUAUUACAUACAAUUUAU
Long non-coding RNA from Acromyrmex echinatior (Panamanian leafcutter ant), 881 nucleotides. The record is from RefSeq and is a predicted model, not a curated record. NCBI's taxonomy places the organism in Eukaryota, Metazoa, Arthropoda, Insecta, Hymenoptera, Formicidae.